This is a long non-coding RNA of Oncorhynchus keta (chum salmon), 843 nucleotides long. RefSeq lists it as uncharacterized. Lineage: Eukaryota; Metazoa; Chordata; Actinopteri; Salmoniformes; Salmonidae. The transcript has 4 exons. The record is from RefSeq and is a predicted model, not a curated record.
UAAUCAAGGUGUUUGUGGUCCAGGUCCCAUCAGAGUGUAAUCAAGGUGUUUAUGGUUCAGGUCCCAUCAGAGUGUAAUCAAGGUGUUUAUGGUUCAGGUCCCAUCAGAGUGUAAUCAAGGUGUUUAUGGUUCAGGUCCCAUCAGAGUGUAAUCAAGGUGUUUAUGGUUCAGGUCCCAUCAGAGUGUAAUCAAGGUGUUUAUGGUCCAGGUCCCAUCAGAGUGUAAUCAAGGUGUUUGUGGUUCAGGUCCCAUCAGAGUGUAAUCAAGGUGUUUAUGGUUCAGGUCCCAUCAGAGUGUAAUCAAGGUGUUUGUGGUUCAGGUCCCAUCAGAGUGUAAUCAAGGUGUUUGUGGUUCAGGUCCCAUCAGAGUGUAAUCAAGGUGUUUGUGGUUCAGGUCCCAUCAGAGUGUAAUCAAGGUGUUUGUGGUUCAGGUCCCAUCAGAGUGUAAUCAAGGUGUUUGUGGUUCAGGUCCCAUCAGAGUGUAAUCAAGGUGUUUGUGGUUCAGGUCCCAUCAGAGUGUAAUCAAGGUGUUUGUGGUUCAGGUCCCAUCAGAGUGUAAUCAAGGUGUUUGUGGUUCAGGUCCCAUCAGAGUGUAAUCAAGGUGUUUGUGGUUCAGGUCCCAUCAGAGUGUAAUCAAGGUGUUUGUGGUUCAGGUCCCAUCAGAGUGUAAUCAAGGUGUUUGUGGUCCAGGUCCCAUCAGAGUGUAAUCAAGGUGUUUAAGGUUCAGGUCCCAUCAGAGUGUAAUCAAGGUGUUUAUGGUUCAGGUCCCAUCAGAGUGUAAUCAAGGUGUUUAUGGUCCAGGUCCCAUCAGAGUGUAAUCAAGGUGUUUGUGGUUCAGGUCCCA